Leopardus geoffroyi (Geoffroy's cat) is the source of this 1088-nucleotide long non-coding RNA. RefSeq lists it as uncharacterized. The record is from RefSeq and is a predicted model, not a curated record. The transcript has 4 exons. Lineage: Eukaryota; Metazoa; Chordata; Mammalia; Carnivora; Felidae.
UUCUGGGGGCGGCGCUUCAGGCUUUAGGAGCCGGAGGAGAGGUGGAGUUACCGGAGCUGGGGUUGACGUUGGAACUGAGACGGAAGCAGGGGCCAAACUGAGGGGUGAUACUGGUUUGGGAGCCAGGUUUGAGAUUGGGACUGGAGUUGUUCUUACCGGGCGUGUUCUGGCUCAGGACUGCGGCUGAGGUUCAACGCUCCACCUCUACACGAUGACUCCCCCCACAAGCCUCAGGAUCACAUCAAGGCCAGAGAGGGUGACCAACCUGGCCCAAAUCACACAGCGAUGCAGCUUGGUCAUCCAGGCUCUACUCUGCCACGCUGCUUCUAGACCCAGAGGACCUUCAAUGUUUUCAGGUUGCAGUUUUCCAUUAGUGGUCAUCGAUCCCGACCUCUUUCUGUAACGGAUGGAGAAAGGUCACUUUUCAGAAGAAGAAACCCAAGACCCAAGUGUGAAUUGGUGCAGAGGAAAAGAGACCUGCCCAGCGUCACCCAGUAUAGCUCAGAGUUCCAAACGUAUCACUUCUUGUCAUCUCGCAGCCCCUGGAGUACCAGGAAAGGAUUAUUUUUCCACCUUAUAGACGAUGAAAUGGAAGUCCGGAGAAGUGAAAUGAGCUUCCUGAGCUCACACAGCAAUGGCAGAACUGGGGCGGAAUCAGGCCUCCUGAGUUACAUGGUGAAACAGACACGGGCAAUCUGACCCCAAUGGAAGACCCACACCGCAGUGCAGACUGGGCCUCCCAUCCUGCCUCCUUCCUCUGUUAUCCCUUUCCCUGCCUCUCAUGCAGUCACUCAACAGGUAUUUUCGAGUACCUGCUCAUGUUCCAUUUCCAGCUUCUUGCCCUCCCUUCCCUACUAGGGUCUGCCAAGGCCCCUCCAAAACCUGGCUGGAUCUCUGGCUCCCCCUACUUAGUCCACCCUCAUUUCCUCAGACCACAAGACGGCUCUAGUCACAGACUCCUGGCUCUUAGAUGCCCGAGGACAUCAUUUUAAAGGGCUUUAGGGGGGCGCCUGGGUGGCUCCGUCAGUUGAGCGUCCAACUCUUGAUUUCAGCCCAGGUCACGAUCUCGCGGUUCGUGGACUCCAGCC